This is an RNA transcript of Pan troglodytes (chimpanzee), 5602 nucleotides long. It is a transcript of the gene named NOP2/Sun RNA methyltransferase 6, with no coding region annotated. The transcript is spliced from 11 exons. The record is from RefSeq and is a predicted model, not a curated record. Lineage: Eukaryota; Metazoa; Chordata; Mammalia; Primates; Hominidae.
AUAAAGAUGAACCAAUCCAAGAUUGAUUUUUUGUUUGUUUAAUCCUGGCAGUAUUCUUAACUAAAUCGUAUUCAUUCUUCCCUUUAGUUUCCAGACUUUUAAAUUUUAUUUAUUUAUUUAUUUUUUGAGACAGAGUCUCGCCCAGGCUGGAGUGCAGUGCCACAAUCUUGGCUUACUGCAACCUCUGCCUCCCUGGUUCAAGCGAUUCUCCUGCCUCACCCUCCCAAGUAGCUGGGACUACAGGCACGUGCCAUCACGCCAGGCUAAUUUUUGCAUUUUUAGUACAGAUGGGGUUUUACAUAUUGAUCAGGCUGGUCUUGGACUCCUGACUUAGUGAUCCACCGGCCUCAGCCUCCCAAAGUGUUGGGAUUACAGGCAUGAGCCACUGCGCCAGGCCACUUUCCAGAUAUUAUAGUCCCUAAUUUAUUGUGUCUCAAAUGCCAAAUAAAUUUGAGCUUAGACUGGAGCUGCUGUACUGAUACAGGAUUGGAUUUAUGGGUGAAUGGGUGACUAUAGGUGUCAUGUUAUUUUCAUAGAACCAUUCAGGUUUGAAAUUAAGAAGGAAAGAAGUUCCCUUGAAUGGAGAUAGCCAGAGGCAGAAUUAAGACCUUUCUUCCAAGAUCAAUCUGAAAUAACAUUUUGGCAAGUAAAAGAGGCAUGUCUGUCAUAGAAGAAAUAAAAAGGCAACCUGGAAGAACAGAAAAAGGGAGGACUAGAUAGAAAUUAGUUAACUGUCUAGCUGGGCAUGGUGGCAGGCACCUGUAAUACCAGCUACUCAGGAGGCUGAGGCAGGAGAAUCGCUUGAACCCAGGAAGCGGAGGUUGCAGUGAGCCGAGAUCAUGCCAUUGCACUCCAGCCUGGGCGACAGAGUGAGACUCGAGGGAAGUGAUCACCUAAAUCAGUGUUUUAUCAACCUUUUAAAAUUAUCAUCCCCCUAAAGAGCCUUUCUAGACAUUUUUUCCUGCUAAUUCUCCCAUACCCUUACCAUGAAAUUAAAUGCUCAGGAGUGAUUGUUUUGGUAAGGUUAAGCUUUGGAGUUCCACAAACUAAAAAGAGUGAGAUUGUAUCAAAAAUUGUUUCAGUCCUCCCUGAGUUCCCCACACCCUGGGGAGCCAUAUCACCCAUAUUAAGAACUUGUAGCCUAAAUAAAUCUUAUAUGGGUGUAUUCAUAGAGUAGUUUUCCUUUGCUUACAUAGCACAUAUCUACUAUGCCAACUUCUUGUUUUGUAAUAUGCUUUUCUUGGAUCCAGCCUUGGAAUCCCAAGAGAUAUCUUCAUCAACAUUAACUGUCAUUACAAUAACAUCUAGUCAAGAAUAGUCUAAAUGGCUGGGUGUGGUGGCUCACGCCUGUAAUCCCAGCACUUUGGGAGGCUGAAGUGGGUGGAUCACUUUGAGCUGAGGAGUUCGAGACCAGCCUGAGCAACAUGGUGAAACCUCAUCUCUACUAAAAAUACAAAAAUUAGCUGGGCGUGGUGGUGGGCACCUAUGAUCCCAGCUACUGGGGAGGCUGACGCAGGAGAAUCACUUGAACCUGGGAGGCAGAGGUUGCAGUGAGCUGAGAUAGCACCACUGCACUCCAGCCUGAGCGACAGAAUGAGACUCCAUCUCAAACAAACAAAAAAGUCUAAAUGUCCUCAAUACUGUCCGUGUGUGGCACUAGUGAAGUAAUUUCUGGCAAAUGCUUUAUCAGCAUUUUCUUUCCAUAGUUUAUAGAGAUGUUCAUCCAUCUUUUCAUUUAGUCAUUCAGUAAGUAUUUGAGUGCCUAUUAUGGAUUAGGCUUGGGUACAUAGUGGUGUGAUAAAGUCUCUAUCCUUGUGGAGUUUAAAAUGUAGUUCAACUUGUUUCUCCUCCUUUAUCGAUAAAAUACAGAUUCCAGCCAUCAGUGGUGCUAUGGUCACCAUGAAAUUCAGGCUACAUAAAUUCCUUUGGAAAUGUCUGAUUUAGACAUUUAUCACUUUCAGAUGUUUUAGCCAUGAAAGAAUCUCAUGGAUUUAUUGAAGAAAUAUGCUAUGGUCAAGGACAAGGUAUUGGCUCUAGAAGCCAAAUUACUAGUCUUUAUCCUGGCUUUUUAUUUGUGAGAACAUGGAGAGUUGUUUCAACCCUAGGAACCUUGAUUUACUCUUUAAAACAGAGAAAAUGGGCUGGGCGUGGUGGCUCACGCCUGUAAUCCCAGCACUUUGGGAGGCUAGACAGUCAGAUCAGUUGAAGUCAGGAGUUUGAGACCAGCCUGGCCAGCAUGGUGAAACCCCGUCUCUACUAAAAUUACAAAAAUUAGUUGGGCCUGGUGGCACAUGCCUGUAAUUUUAGCUACUCGGGAGGCCAAGGCAGGAGAAUCUUUUGAACCAGGAGGUGGAGGUUGCAGUGAGUCGAGAUCCCACCAUUCCACUCCAGUCUGGGCGACAGAAACUCAAAAAAAAAAAAAAAAAAGAGCAGAGAAAAUGAUAAACAACUUGCAGGUUGUUGUGUGGUAUAAUGGUCAUACAUUAUUUUCUACUCUUUCUCAUAAAGAGUUGGUGUGUCAUGGAAAGUACCUGUUCUAUGUGUGUGAGUCUGUGUGUAUAAUUCGGUGUGAAAAUUAAAGAGAAAAAAACAAUAAAAAACCCUUUCCUAUACUUAUGUGUAAAUUACCAUGGUGUGCUGCAAAAAACAUAUGUCAAGGUGAUAGAAUUAUUUUGACUUUCCUGUACAAUUAUAAAAUGACUCAGUGAGUUUGGUUAGAUAUCCUCGUUCUUUGAAUCUAUAUCCUUGUCUGCUUAUGAUGAAAAAAAAGAAAAAAAAAUGGCAAGGGUCUUCCAAACUCUAAAGAAUAUGUCAACUGUGAUACAAGUAGCAGCCUUAUAACUAACUGUAAACACUGUCUGUGGGUUUUAAGUUUUACCUGAGCAUUGGAUAUUAACAGACCAUUAGCCCAACUUUCAAAAAUAUGAACCCUAUGAACUUCACAACUGAAGUCAGAUCUGUAUGCCUGAGAGAGGUAAAAUCAUGUCAUGAAAUCAAACGGUGGCUGAUGCGCCCAAAUUCUGGCCUCAUCCUCUAACUGGAGGACAUCUGGCAGGACAGCAACUGGGCUGUGCCUUUUUUCAGUCCAGCAACAUCUUCCACUCAACCCACGCCAUUUGGCAGUUUCCCCAUUGCCCCUGGCACGUAGCCCUCCGGUACCGGGAACUAAAUAUCUUUGACCAUCCCGCCCGCCGGCCCUGCCUACUUAACCUGAGGCAGGUGAAAGAGCCUCACGCAGGGUUAGGAACCUCCGGGGGCGUGGCGUAGCGUAACGCAGUGUUGGGGAAACUUGCGGCUGUGGAUUGGGGGACCGGAAAGGGAGGGGUGGGCCGCAGGCGCCGGACGUGACGUAAGCCGGAAGCGACUUUCCGCCGAGAAAUAGGGGGCGCGUGUUUGGAAAUUGAUAGAAAAGAUAAAGGGACCGAGCUGCUGUCAGCCUGGCUUACUGAUCUGCGUCCGUUUCACCACGGAUUCAGUUACUAAGCAUUUUCUUCUUUUUUUGGUUCUUUGCAACGUGGGUGGCAUUGGCUCAGUGAUUUCCAUGAGCAUCUCUACCAGAAAACAUUGCCUCGAUGAGGUGUGGUGGAAGCCCGGCAGCCCCUUCUAAUCGGCUAGGCUUGAGAAAGCGUGUACCUCUGCAUUUCCGAAAUUAACUCAGCGUGAUCGGCAAGAUUUUCCUGAGCAUCUGGUGUCAAGACACUCGUCACUAUUAAUUCGGAAAGAAAAAAAAACAAAACACCGUUUUCCAGCAUUUCUGUUGGUGGAGAACUAAACAACAGGAAAAAUGUCUAUUUUCCCUAAGAUAUCUUUGAGACCCGAGGUUGAAAACUAUCUUAAGGAAGGCUUUAUGAAUAAGGAGAUUGUGACUGCUUUAGGUAAACCAGAAGCAGAAAGGAAGUUUGAAACUUUGUUAAAGCACCUGUCACAUCCUCCGUCAUUCACAACUGUCAGAGUGAAUACACAUUUAGCCUCAGUACAACAUGUGAAAAAUCUGUUACUUGAUGAACUUCAGAAGCAGUUUAAUGGAUUAAGUGUUCCUAUUCUUCAACAUCCAGACCUUCAAGAUGUGUUACUUAUUCCUGUUAUUGGACCCAGAAAGAAUAUUAAAAAACAACAGUGUGAAGCCAUUGUUGGAGCCCAGUGUGGCAAUGCAGUUUUAAGAGGAGCCCAUGUCUAUGCCCCAGGAAUUGUGUCAGCAUCAAAAUUUAUGAAAACUGGAGAUGUUAUUUCUGUAUACUCUGAUAUUAAAGGAAAAUGUAAGAAAGGAGCCAAAAAAUUUGAUGGAACAAAAGUAUUUCUUGGAAAUGGGAUUUCUGAACUAAGCCGCAAAGAAAUCUUCAGUGGAUUACCUGAACUGAAGUAUGUCAUCAGAGGCAUGGGCAUAAGAAUGACAGAACCAGUAUAUCUCAGCCCUUCAUUUGACAGUGUACUGCCCCGUUACUUAUUUUUACAAAAUUUGCCAUCUGCCUUAGUAAGUCAUGUACUAAAUCCUCAACCUGGAGAGAAGAUUCUAGACUUGUGUGCAGCACCUGGAGGGAAAACAACACAUAUUGCAGCACUAAUGCAUGAUCAGGGAGAAGUUAUAGCACUGGAUAAAAUCUUCAACAAAGUAGAAAAAAUCAAACAGAAUGCCUUAUUGUUAGGGCUGAAUUCCAUCAGGGCAUUUUGUUUUGAUGGAACAAAGGCGGUUAAACUUGAUAUGGUGGAGGACACAGAAGGAGAACCUCCAUUUCUACCAGAAUCCUUUGACCGAAUUCUUCUGGAUGCACCCUGUAGUGGAAUGGGACAGAGACCAAACAUGGCCUCUACUUGGUCUUUGAAGGAAGUGGCAUCAUAUCAGCCAUUACAGCGAAAACUCUUCACUGCAUUUUCUUUAGGCGGUUCAGCUGCUGAAGCCAGAGGGUGUGCUGGUUUAUAGCACGUGCACUAUAACACUGGCCGAAAAUGAAGAACAAGUUGCCUGGGCCCUGACAAAAUUUCCUUGCCUUCAGCUUCAGCCCCAGGAACCGCAGAUUGGAGGAGAAGGAAUGAGGGGAGCUGGGCUCUCAUGUGAACAGUUGAAACAGCUGCAACGAUUUGAUCCAUCGGCUGUGCCAUUACCGGACACUGAUAUGGACUCUCUUAGAGAGGCCAGAAGAGAAGACAUGUUGCGUCUGGCUAAUAAGGACUCUAUAGGUUUUUUUAUUGCAAAAUUUGUAAAAUGCAAAAGCACAUAGGAGAGGGAUGGAUGCUCAGAAAUGAAAAUUCCAAACAUUUGCUGUCUGUGGUUUUUUUUUUUUUUUUAAAAAAACCAAAGUGUUGUCAGGCCAACUGAAUGAUGACGUGGUUGCUAAGGAAACAGAAAAGGCUGCCAGCUGUUUUACCAGGGAUCCAGAGACAUAGAGGAAGUAGGGGUUGGUAUGAGAUUAUAUUUUCUGUUUUUAAAAGAUUUUUUUUUAAUGUAUUUAGUAGAGUAUAAAGAAAAGCAGAUGCCUAUAGAUGUCUGGAGCAUAUUUUCAUUUGUGAUCUAAUGUUUUAAUUUGUAAAGUGUACAAGUCAUUUUUAAUGUUAAAAAUUAGUGAAUCUAACAAAAGGAAUAAAUUAGCAAUAUUUGAUGUGGCUA